Long non-coding RNA from Oncorhynchus tshawytscha (Chinook salmon), 174 nucleotides. RefSeq lists it as uncharacterized. The record is from RefSeq and is a predicted model, not a curated record. The transcript is spliced from 3 exons. Lineage: Eukaryota; Metazoa; Chordata; Actinopteri; Salmoniformes; Salmonidae.
GAGAGGACAUCUGUCCAACAUCUCUGAGUGUGCCUUGAUCCCUGACAAGAAAAGACUGAUUACUGCAUCAUGGGACAAGACCCUAAAUGCAUGGGACCUGGAGACUGGCAAGAUCAUUUGGACUGCAGCUCAGGCUGGUCUCCUGACCUCAUGUAGCGUCUCAGAGGACGGAAG